GACGAACGCUGGCGGCGUGCCUAAUACAUGCAAGUGGGACGCAAGGAAACACACUGUGCUUGCACACCGUGUUUUCUUGAGUCGCGAACGGGUGAGUAACGCGUAGGUAACCUGCCUAUUAGCGGGGGAUAACUAUUGGAAACGAUAGCUAAUACCGCAUAAUAUUAAUUAUUGCAUGAUAAUUGAUUGAAAGAUGCAAGCGCAUCACUAGUAGAUGGACCUGCGUUGUAUUAGCUAGUUGGUAAGGUAAGAGCUUACCAAGGCGACGAUACAUAGCCGACCUGAGAGGGUGAUCGGCCACACUGGGACUGAGACACGGCCCAGACUCCUACGGGAGGCAGCAGUAGGGAAUCUUCGGCAAUGGACGAAAGUCUGACCGAGCAACGCCGCGUGAGGGAAGAAGGUUUUCGGAUCGUAAAGCUCUGUUGUAAGUCAAGAACGUGUGUGAGAGUGGAAAGUUCACACAGUGACGGUAGCUUACCAGAAAGGGACGGCUAACUACGUG
RNAcentral lists this ribosomal RNA (505 nucleotides) under uncultured bacterium. Its description in RNAcentral is "partial 16S ribosomal RNA". It matches the Rfam family "Bacterial small subunit ribosomal RNA", at positions 28 to 507 of the family's 1533-position model. The record is from RNAcentral.